RNAcentral lists this long non-coding RNA (16324 nucleotides) under Oryza sativa (Asian cultivated rice). RNAcentral's name for it is "long non-coding RNA (OSAT_LNC000329)". Lineage: Eukaryota; Viridiplantae; Streptophyta; Magnoliopsida; Poales; Poaceae. The record is from RNAcentral.
AAAUAUUGUUGGUCCCUAGUCCAAUGUAAAACUCUGAUAAUAAAAGAUAUCCUAGUGUAGAAUUCACAAGAAGAAAUAUUAUUUUCCCAUAAAUGUAUACGAGGUAUUGUUUGACAUGCCACUGUUCCAUAUAAAACAUACUCCCUCCAUCCGUGAUUGCAGUGGCGAAACUAGGAUUUGAAUACUGUCACGCCCUGAAGUUCUUCUCCCUAGCAAAAAUUUAAUUAAUAAAUUGUCGCAAGAAAUUAUUUGUUUAAAGGCAAGAGAGAAUUUUUCUUGGAAUCGGCAUGUGGAAUUUUUCUUGGAUUCUACAUGUCAAAAUAUGCUAACAGGAAUUUUAGUGGAAUUUUCAGAGCCUUGGAAAUAAUUUUAGUGGAAUCCCAAGAAGUUGGAGGAUAUACCUAUAGUACAAGAGUAUCCUGAGGUGUUCCCAGAAGACCUCACUACAAUGCCACCGAAGAGAGAAAUCGAGUUCCAGAUUGAUCUGGCACCCGGAACUGCUCCAAUCUACAAGAGGCCGUACAGAAUGGCAGCUAAUGAGCUAGCAAAAGUCAAAAAGCAGGUUGACGAACAGCUGCAGAAAGGGUACAUCCGACCGAGUACUUCACCUUGGGGUGCUCCGGUUAUCUUUGUGGAAAAGAAAGACAAGACCAAGAGGAUGUGCGUUGAUUAUCGCGCCCUUAAUGAGGUCACAAUCAAGAACAAAUAUCCGUUGCCAAGAAUUGAUGAUCUGUUUGAUCAGCUAAAAGGAGCUAAGGUGUUUUCCAAUAUAGACCUGCGAUCAGGCUAUCAUCAGUUGAGAAUUCGGGAAGAGGAUAUUCCCAAGACAGCCUUCGCCACUCGGUCUUGCUCUCUUUUCCCCCACACUAGAGUUGAAGUCCUUCUCAGUUGAAGAUGUCACAAAGAAGUUGGUUUCGUCGCUACCGUCAAGGAUGCCUGUGGAAUGGAGUCGCCCACUGUAGAAGUCAAGUCUUCAGGCUUAGCUCGUUUUUUUCCUCUUUUUUCCGCUGCAUUUGUAAUCUUUUAUAUUUUUGUAAGACGUGGAUCUGUAUGUCAAUAAUUGUCGUUUGUGUACCCUGGCUGGUCCUGGACAGGGGUUUAAUACACAUUCAGCUUAGAAAUUCUUAGUUGGUAUCAGAGCCGACCUUGACCGUAGGACAAGCCAACUGGAAACCCUAAGAGUCCUCUUAAACCUUUUCAUUUGCACAUGCCUUUUGCACUUGGAUUUGUUUCGGUAUAAUUUUGGGGUUUGCUCUUUUGAUUUGUGGGAAAAAUCUUGAUCGCUAUUUAAUCGUAUUUCUCGGCUAGAGGCAGUCUAGGGUUCUAGCAAAACUUUAUUUGGAAUUUAUUUGGCCUUCAGUCGGGAAUUUGUUAGGUGAUAUGCACUAAGUCGUGUCUAGAUUCGAUGGGCAUUUUUAUGUGUAUAUUAUAGCUACGCAUCUAUUUUGUGCAUUAAUUUAUCGUUUAGUCAGUUGCAUUAGUAUCUUUGUCUGGGUUCAUGAAAAAUGUUCCACGCAUAAAAAUCAUCAUGCUCGGCGAGUUAUUUGAGUCAUUUGUUGCUUUAUUUAAUUUGGUUUUGAGCAUGUGUUGGUUCCUAUCCCUCUGUCCUCUUUAGAUGUCAGACCUGUUCUCUGAUCGCAAGCGCUGCUCCAAGCUUCAGAGUCGCCGCCUUUAUCCUUAACAUUUUCUUAGUUUUGGCUGCUUGCUAGUUUCUGUGUUUAGGUUUGUUGCUUGUGGGUUAGUCGGCGGUCGAUAUCAUGUGUUAGUGGUAUGACUGCCUUAAUUAGGAGUUGUUUGCUUUCUUUUUAGUUUUUUAAUCAAGAUUAAAUUAAUUGCACUUAAAUCUAUAAGAAAGAUUAGUUUCCAAGCCAUCUGUUUUCUUCCUUUCUCUUAUUUCUACCUAUCCUCGUCCAGAUGGUGAAGACAGGGAAUGAUCCCCGUGCCUCCAAUGACGCUAGGGGCAGCGAAGAGCAGACCGAUGGAGCUCAUAUCAGUGGUGCAUCUGACAGCAGUUCAUCUCCACCGCCCGAGAACCCAACGGUCACUCAGAUGAUGACAAUGAUGAUACAACAGAUGCAGCAACAUUACCAUCAGAUGUUGCAGCAGGCGCAGCAGAACCAGCAGUCUGGUCCUCCAUCAUCACACCUGUCCAAACUGUUAGACUUUCAUCAUAUCCAGCCACCCACUUUCUCAAGCACCACCAACCCAAUGUAGGCCAACGACUGGCUCCGUGCGAUUGAGAAGAAGCUGAACCUUCUGCAAUGCAAUGACCAAGAGAAGGUUGCUUUUGCUACACAUCAGUUGCAAGGUCCCGCUUCUGCUUGGUGGGAUAACUACGUGGUGACCCGUCCAGAUUCAACGGAGGUUACUUGGGCAGAGUUUUGUCAAAGCUUCAGGAAGGCACAAAUUCCUGAGGGGAUUAUGGCACAAAAGAAAAGAGAGUUCCGCGCACUGCAUCAAGAAACCAGGAUAGUUACAGAGUACUUGCAUGAGUUCAACCGCCUUGCGCGCUACGCUCCUAAGGAUGUGCGCACCGAUGCCGAGAAGCAGGAGAAGUUUUUGUUUGGUCUCGAUGAUAAAUUGACCAACCAGCUGAUCUCCGGAGUCUAUGAUGACUUUGAGAAGCUCGUGGACAAGGCUAUCCGUCAGGAAGAGCAACGCAACAAAAUGGACCGAAAUAGAAAGGUAGCUCAGAUCAGCUUUCCUCAGGGGAACAAUUAGAAGCCUCGCUUCAUGACGGGACAGCUAGGUGAGCCUUCCACCCUGAUCAUCCGUCAGCACCAUCCUUACCACCCGAGUAACUUCAACAACGACUACAACGGUGGCAGUCACAACAACAGUAAGCAGCAUAACCACAACUCGACUUCACCCCCAUUAAUGGCACCAGCUCAGUCAGAUCCGCCAGCUAUGUCAGCUCAGUCAGAACAGCUCAAGAAGGAGUCUGCAGGAAAGCCAAGACCCUGCUUCAACUGUGGCAAGCACGGCCACUUUGCUGGCAAGUGUCCGAAGCUAAAGCGCGUUGGACCUAGGUUCGUCCAGGCCCGCGUCAAUCAUGCGUCUGCAGAGAAAGCACAGGCAUCACCAGAGGUCGUGCUGGGCACGUUUCCGGUGAACUCAUAUCCAGCAACAGUUCUCUUUGAUUCUGGUGCCUCGCAUUCUUUUAUAUCCAAGAGAUUUGCUGGGGCACAUGGAUUAUCGGUAGUGGAACUUAAAAUACUGAUGCAGGUUCAUACCCCUGGAAAUGACAUGAGGACAGCACACUACUGCCCCUCAGUGACUAUAGAGAUCAAGAGGUCACGGUUUCUAUCCAACCUCAUCCUUCUCGAAUCCAAAGACCUAGAUGUCAUUCUCGGAAUGGAUUGGUUGACCAGACACAAGGGAGUGAUCGACUGCGCAAGUCGCACUAUCACCCUAAGCAACGACAAAGGGGAGAAGAUCACCUUCCGUUCUCCAGUGUCACAGAAGUCCGUAGCGAGUCUGAAUCAGGCUGUUAUUGAGGAUCAGACAGAAAUAGCGGAAAAAAAUCCCAAGAAGUUGGAGGAUAUACCUAUAGUACAAGAGUAUCCUGAGGUGUUCCCAGAAGGCCUCACUACAAUGCCACCGAAGAGAGAAAUCGAGUUCCAGAUUGAUCUGGCACCCGGAACUGCUCCAAUCUACAAGAGGCCGUACAGAAUGGCAGCUAAUGAGCUAGCAGAAGUCAAAAAGCAGGUUGACGAACAGCUGCAGAAAGGGUACAUCCGACCGAGUACUUCACCUUGGGGUGCUCCGGUUAUCUUUGUGGAAAAGAAAGACAAGACCAAGAGGAUGUGCGUUGAUUAUCGCGCCCUUAAUGAGGUCACAAUCAAGAACAAAUAUCCGUUGCCAAGAAUUGAUGAUCUGUUUGAUCAGCUAAAAGGAGCUAAGGUGUUUUCCAAUAUAGACCUGCGAUCAGGCUAUCAUCAGUUGAGAAUUCGGGAAGAGGAUAUUCCCAAGACAGCCUUCGCCACUCGGUCUUGCUCUCUUUUCCCCCACACCAGAGUUGAAGUCCUUCUCAGUUGAAGAUGUCACAAAGAAGUUGGUUUCGUCGCUACCGUCAUGGAUGCCUAUCGAAUGGAGUCGCCCACUGCAGAAGUCAAGUCUUCAGGCUUAGCUCGUUUUUUUCUUCUUUUUUCCGCUGCAUUUGUAAUCUUUUAUAUUUUUGUAAAACGUGGAUCUGUAUGUCAACAAUUGUCGUUUGUGUACCCUGGCUGGUCCUGGACAGGGGUUUAAUACACAUUCAGCUUAGAAAUUCUGGUUCGUGAAUAUCUGGGCGUGACAAUUACGAGGGGGAACUAAAUUGACAAGUGAUCAUAAUUAUAUUUUUUCUUAAAACUAGGAAGGUAGCCCGCGCACAUGCGCGUGCACCUUAUUUAAUGUGCAUGAAAUUUUGUUAGGGAUGUCCAUGUGUGGGUGUUUCUCUAUCUAAAUAAAAAUUGAACUUAUUUAAUGUGAUUUGAAUGCUGGUUAUAAUUUUCUUAUGAUUACCCUUGCAGCACAUAAAUUCUAAACUAAAAUUACUUGAGACUGUACACUUCAUAAUUUAUAAGAAAAUAUUAUGUCGAAACAAUAGAUGUAGUUCCUAUGAGAAAAUUUUGGUCAUUUUGACUUCUCGCAUAGAUAUCUUACCCCCAAACAUUUGCUCAAAAAGUCAUUUUUUUGCUAGAUAGUAUUUGAAGUUUUACAUAUUUUCAUUCCAUUAGCUUUGCUAGAAGUUUGAAUGUUUCUGUUUAGAAUGGGUUUUCAAACCAAUUUUUUUUUUAAAAAAGAUAAUUUUUGUUAAAUUUUGAUUCUUUUCAUGUACAUUUUUUAAAGAAAUUUGGAGAAUUCCACUCUAUGAAGCAUAUUUGAAAUGAUUUGAUUUCUGCAAUUUGGGUUAAAAACAUAAGUGGGUUGAGCCUACAACCUGACAUGGGGUAAAGUCAUCUCUUCUGAAUUAUCUCACUUCAAUUGAGUAAGAAAUAUUAAAAUAGAGGUCAUGUAAUAAAUACACAUUAUUAUGUUGUCUAUAAAAAAUUAACGCUAGAUGGGGUACAAAUUAUGACGUAAAACACGAUAUCAUUUAAAGUUUUCCUCUAAUUUAUUGGUGACUUCAUAGAUCAUAUAGAUAAUUUAGACUCUAUGAUCAUCUUAAGAUUAUUUAUUUAUCUUCUAAAUUGAUCAUUGAUUGAUAAAAAAGCACCAAGGUCAUAUUAUAUAGGUAAGUAGCCCCCAUAUACAUGUUGAGAGAAAUUAAUAAAUUUGAUAGAAAGUGUUAGGGUCUAACAGGAUAUAAGUAAUGGGUCAACCAGCUUUAUUAAAAAUUAAGGUGGGAUAUUCUGAUUUUCAAUGACGAAUUUUAGUAUCUUUUUUAAUUUAUUGUUGGCCUCAAGAUGGAUGUGGGUCUAGAAUAUAAUUUUUAUGUUAGCAUUUAAAUAUAGACAAUAUGAAUAUUAAUGUAUUGAUUUCACUAAAAAUAUAAUAGUUCGAACAGAUCAUAAGUUGAAUAUAUGAUUUGAAAAGUUAUAAAUAUUUUAUUUAUAUUGUUCCUAUAAGUGCUAGUAAGAGAGAGAAGGACAGGGACAGUGGGAUACAUGGCUAGACCUAAUAUGUGGAGGUUAAUUUGUGGUUUUUCCUCCAUAAAGAUUAAUUUAAUUUUAAUUAUCAUAAUAUAAAAAUAAGAGAAAAGGAACAUCACACCGCACGGGGACGGGAAGGGAGGGAGGAGGAUGUUUUUUCUUAAAAAAAUGAUUGAUCUAAUGACCUAAAAUAAUGUGUUGGAUGUUUAAGUCGAAAACAAUGGUCGGAUGUUUUGUUUUUAACUUAAGAGAGACCAGUAGUGGUUUAGAAAUAUUUAUAGGAUGUUUAAUGUAUUUAACAUUGCAGGGGCCGAGAGUGAGGAAAUAAGGUUUGUGAGUUUUUUUAAAUAAAAAUCUAAUAACAACCUAAAUGAUAUGUCCAUCGAUUUAAGUCAAAAUGGUGUUUUGUUCUUAAUUUUUUAUGAUUUUCUCUAAUUUAUAAUUUAGGAGUGUCACUGUGUGGUUUAUAAGAUGGUUAAUGGGCUUUAACGCCGCAUAGGAGCGCGGAGGGAGGUUUGGGAUAUAUUUUUUUAGAAAAAGAUAAAUCUAAUAACCUAAAAUAAUGUAUAUAGAUGGUCGAAUGUUUUUUUAAGGUUUUCUCUAAUUUAAGAGUGCUAUAUACUCAUCCCGUCCCAUAAAACCUGAACUUAAAAUAGGAUGUGGCAUAUGCGAGAACAGCGAAUUUGGACAUGUGUUUAGAAAUAUUUAUAUGAUGUUGAUUGAACUAUUUAUUUAUUAGGUGAGAAUAUAGGAAGUUGGCUAGAUCUAGUAGGUUGAUGGGCUUUUUAGGCCCAUAAAAAGGUAUUUAAUUUAAAUUAUAUGGGGAUUUAAAAAAAGGAGAGGAACGGUUGGUUGGAGGAAUCGCACGUACGUGCGCGCGGAGGCUCACGUCCGGACGGAGUUAUUUUUCUUGUGAAGAUAGAUCUAAAUAUGAAAAUUAAUGGGCCCACCAAUUUAAAUAAAAAUCAAUGGUCAGAUUUUACUAAUUUUUUAGAGUGACACAUGGGGACUUAAGAGCAUUUAUAGGAUACCACAUGGCAGCCUUAGAGCGUUUGUAGGAAGUUUAAUGGACUUUUAGUAUAUAAUAGAUAGAUUAUAUGCAAAUUUCAAUGUUUUCUUUAGGUAAUGAUGCAUCGUAUUAACAUGAAAAACAUAUUACAACAAAAAACAUAGGCAGGAAGUUAUACUGCAUAUACUUAUUUAUUUAUGAAAUUUAGCAUGAUAAGAAUGUUGAGCAAAUAUAUCAUAAGCGGUGAAAAUAUCGACCGAGAUAAAAGUCUAGAUAAAUAGGCUUUCAUCUAUAUCGAUUUUGAUAAAAUGAUUAACAAACUAUCUAUCUUGCAAGUAUUAAGGAAUAUUUAGAAAUUUGAGAUGGUAGCCAUCUAACGACAUGAUUAUGAUUAUGAGAUAUUAAUAAAAUGUAGUAUUAUACAAGGAAAAGGAAAAAAAGAAUGGCAUGGCUUGUGCUUCUUUUGGUUAGUGACUAAUUAAUCCUACACGAUAAACAUAAGAAGCUGGAAAUUCAGCAUGGCACACGAUGUGAUGCUGUUAGCUAAGCUGUGCAUGCAUCGGCAGAAUCCUAUGACUUGCUCUGACUUUGAGUCACUGACAUGGGCCAACUGGAUAGAGGGCACACAUAUCAGUGACACAAGUUAGAGAAAAGUAAGUUAGAGGAUCUCUAUUUGGUUGGGUUGUAGUUUAAGGCUGCGUUCGGUAUAGGAAGUUCCCAACCCCUCUUCCUCGUUUUCUGCGCGCGCACUUUUCAAACUAUUAAAUGGUGUGUUUUUUUGCAAAAAGUUUCUACACGAAAGUUGCUUAAAAAAAUCAUAUAGAUCUAUUUUUUAAAAAAAUUAGUUAAUACUUAAUUAAUCGCGCAUUAAAUGCUGCUCCGUUUUAUAUGCCAGGAGUGAGGUUCCCAACCCUCACUCCCGAACACAGCCUAAGAGCCUUAUUGGUUGCCUAUAUUUUCUAAUAAGCCAAAACGGCUUAUUAAGAAAACUGUUUAAUAAAACCAAAAAGAUGUGGUGGUUUAGGCUUCAGAAUCUAUAGGCUGUUUAACCAAGCCCUUCUUGCCCGUCAAGCUUGGCGUCUUAUAGAAUUCCCUGAUAUCCUCUAUGCAAGAGUUCUGAAGGCGAAGUAUUUCCCCCAAGGAUCCCUAAUUGAUACUACCUUCAGUUGCAACAUUUUCCCGACUUGGCGUGCUAUUGUUCGUGGGCUGGAGUUAUUGAAAAAAGGGAUCAUAUGGAGAGUUGGUAAUGGGAAGUCUAUCUGCGUGUGGAGAGAUCCCUGGAUUCCACGUGAUCACUCAAGAAGACCUAUUUCUUUGAGAGGUAAUUGUUGGCUAAAAUGGGUGUCUGAUUUGAUAGACCAAGAUGGCUCUUGGAAUAUUACAGAGAUCAAUAGAUGCUUCCUUGGUAUAGACGCUGAGAUCAUCCCAACUAUCUGUCUGUCUCCUCAUUUGGAAGAAGAUUUUUUGGCUUGGCACCCAGAUAAGACAGGCCGGUUCUCAGUGCGGAGUGCCUACAGCCUUGCUUGUAAGCUGGCAAACACUGAAGAUUCGUCAAGCUCAUCUGUAGUGGGUACACACAAAGCCUGGGACUCAAUCUGAAAGUGUAAGAUGCCACAGAAGAUAAAGGUCUUUGCCUGAAAAGCUGCCUCAAACUGUUUACCAACCAUUGUCAACAAAAAGGUACGAAAUUUGGAGUCGACAGAUACCUGAAUCAUUUGUAAUCAGGAGAAGGGGGAUACUGCUCACGCCCUCUGCAGGUGCCCACACGCGAGGAACUUGCUGUCAGCCAUGUUCAAUGCAGGCAACAUCUCUCUUGAUGUGGAAAAAUCUCGUUUCGGUAAUGAGUGGCUAUUUGACAUGCUGGAGCAACUCCCUGCCCAUGAGCACGAGAUGUUCUUAAUGACGCUAUGGCGGAAUUGGCAUGUUCGCAAUGAAAUCACCCAUGAUAAAGCAGCCCCUCCGCUGGAAGUUUCGAAAAGAUUUGUUGAAAGUUACAUAGCCACGCUUUUCCAGAUCAAGGAAUCACCGCUGAAAGAUGUGGAAAAAGGGAAGUCUGUAGCGAGUUUGUCUGUCACUGGCAGGGUAAGAGACAGAGCUUCUGAUGAUCAUCGAGUUCCGAAUCCCGUAUUGCAUUAGGUGAAACCUCAGGUUGGUUGGAUGAAACUCAAUGUUGAUGGAUCCUUUGAUGCUGCCCUAUGUAAGGGAGGAAUUGGUAUGGUUUUACGGGAUAGCAGUGGGAAUACAAUCUUCGCGUCCUGUAAACCGCUGAACAGAUGCACAGGUGCUCUCGAAUCAGAACUGCGUGCCUGUGUAGAAGGUCUGAAUCUAGUUCUCCAUUGGACCCUGCUCCCAAUUCUAGUUGAAACAGAUUGCAUGUCUGUAGUGCAACUGUUAAAUGAUGGGGAAAGGGAUCGGUCGGAAUUGGCUAACAUUGUUCAUGAGGCUAAACGCUUGCUAGCCGGGACUAGGAGAAUUCUAGUCAGUAAGAUCCAUAGAAGCCAGAAUAGUGUUAGUCACCUGUUAGCUAACAGGGCCAAAGUUGACUCUGUCUCUGGGGUUUGGUUGGAAGGAAGUUGUAAUUUUAUCUUACGUUUAGUGCGUGAGGACAUUUUAAGAGAGUAAUAUAUUUCUUCUUUCCCCGCAAAAAAAAAAAGAAAUACAAGUUAAUUUAUAUAUAAAGCUUUUAUAUAUUUGUUCGUAGCAAGGUAAAAGCCAAUGCUAUAAAGAAAUUUACGUUGAAAAUAAGUUGAAAUCAACUUUAAAUUCAAGUUUUAAAAUUCAAACUUUAGCUUUUGCUUUGUGUUAUUAGGCCAACCGAUGAGGCUCUAAGCAGUUGUGUUGGGGGAGGCUAGGCCUCCUCCCGCCCCCUGGCUUCAUCCCUUCGUGAUUGACAAGUGCACAAGCAAAACGAAAGAAAUAUAGUAGUCCCUCUACCCCAAUUUGACCGUCCACUAAGAUUUUGAGGUUUUUUCUAAAUGACCAUCAUACAAUAAGUGGGAGUAAAUGGGAAUCGCUGAAUGCGCUGCACGCAUGCAACCGUAUGCAUGUAACUAGCCAAGAUUAAUUUCUGAUGGUGUAACUAGGUAUGAAAAUGGUUCAUAAAGUUUCCUAUUUCCUGAGAGGUUUUUGAAACGGAAAGUGUCAGUCAGAAUUUUAUCGGAAAUUUUUAGAAAUGGAAAUGAAUUCAGAUUUUUUUUUUCAAAAUCGGAAAUGAAUACGGUGAGGCUACUAUCGGUCGAAAACCGGAAUCGGUCAGAAACUUUCCGGAGAUAAAUUUGAAAACUUUUCGAAAACAGAAACUUUUUAUAUAUAGCUUAUUAGCUUCAGCCUUCUCUACUCUAUAUAUGUUUAGAUUUCUACAUAAUAUUGAGAUGGUUAGUUGAAUGUAGAUAAUUUUUUAGUACGGUGCUUUAGAUACGUGUCCACCCCCUACAGUAGCAGGCUCACCAUGAGCUUCUCACUAGGCUCCCGCGCCGCUCCCUUCCUGUCUCCCAAGGGUGUGACCUGAGGAAUUCCCGCGCUCACACCGUGAUCUCCGCCGGAGAUUCGCCGGCGACAGGGAGCGCCGCCGCGUCGCCCUAGAAUCGUCAGUCCAUCGCCUGACAUACUCUUCAGUAUUCCUAUUCCUUUUUCAUAUGACUUAAAAAUCGAUCUUAUGUUUACUACACCAUCUAAUAACAAUAAAAAUACUAAUUAAAAAAGCGCAAGGAGUAUCAUUUAAGAGCGGGUUGUUUCAUGUGUGGUUGCCACCACUUCCACGUCGCUAACAGACUUAUUAAUUGUAAAAGUAAGGUACUCUGUUCAUCGUACUCCGUACAGAGUAGCAUCAAUGAUAGAAACUUCACCUUUUUUUUAAUGUUUGAUAAAAUGGGAUGCGUCACCUACGGAUGGACCAACGGAUUGUUGGUCGUUGGUAUAGCAAUAUCAAUAUUAUUAUGGCUCUUAGUUGACUCAACUGACAAGUCUACGCCUGCUCUUACUAUUUAAGAAGCUUCCAAUGCGCUAACGCAGCCCAGCGAUCUGCGCGUCACAACUCACAAAGCCGGGGUAGCUUGAGGUAGUGGUGCCCUGGAUUCUAAGGUAUACCUUGCUAUACACUGAUCCUUAUGUAAGUUCGUCUGUAAUAUAUACACGUAACUGGUAAAAUUUGUCCGUGCAAUUGCACUAGCUAGUUUCUAAUAUUAUUUCAUUUCAAGCAAAUUAGUUACUUGCUCCGGCCUAAAUAUAGCGGCCUAAUUUGAUAUACAAAGGCAGCAAUAUUUUAAAACGAAAAAAAGUGCGUGAUACAUAUAUAAUAUAAUUUCUUGAUAUUGUUUGUUUUUUCACGUGCCCUACUGCACAUUUAUACCUGCGAAUAUGCCCCCUUUAGCACAUUCUCAAAAGUUGGAAGCCAACAGGAAAUCUUUGGUGUCGCUAAAAUUCUUAAAUUCUAGGUGUGUUUAGUUCGCAAAAAGAAUUUUUUUAGUUGUCACAUCGGAUGUUUGACUGGAUGUUGGAAGGAGUUUUCGGACACGAAUGAAAAAACUAAUUUCAUAACUCGCCUGAAAACCGCGAGACAAAUCUUUUGAGCCUAAUUAAGCCGACAUUAGCACAUGUGGGUCACUGUGGUACUUAUGGCUAAUCAUGGAUUAAUUAGGCUCAAAAGAUUCGUCUCGUGAUUUCCAUGCAAAGUGUGUGAUUAGUUUUUAUUUUUAUCUAUAUUUAAUGCUCCAUACAUAUAUCCAAAGAUUCGAGGUGACGUUUUUGGGAAAAAAAAAUUGAAAACUAAACCAUGCCUCUUUAAAAAAGUUGUGUCAAAACCUGCGCAAUUUUAGAUACUAGUAUUUAACUGUGAUUGGUGGCGUCCAUGCCUCCUGCAAUAUACUUGCCAUGAAUGUCCACGAGGAUAUUUUAUAUUACUCCCUCCGAUUUCAUAUUAAUUGACGUUUUAGAUAAGGUUGAAGUCAAACUUUAUAACUUUGACCAUCAAUAAUUUUAAAAAUAUUUAGUUUAAAGGAACUAGAACAAUAUAUAUAAAUUUGUCUUUCAAAACACCAUAAUAAAAGUAAACAUAUAUUUAUUUAUUAUAUAUAUUAUAAUAGAAAAAUAAAGGUCAAAGAUAUAUUUUGUAGACCGUGUUCUUGUCCAAAACGUUAAUUAAAAUGAAACCGGAGGGAGUAUAUAAAAAAGAAUAGAAUCCAUUCCAGAGUUUUAGCACUCCAGAAAUUUUGGAAGUUCGAUUGUGAAAUGCCAAAACUGUCAUCAAUUUAAAGCUGCCAGAAAAAGGGUAGGUGAUAUCAAUAUAUUGUCGUGCCAAAAAUAUAUAAAAAUAUAUGGUUGCCCUGAUUCCUGUGUGAAGCAACAUUUUCACUGCACUGCUCCAAACACGCCGAAGGAGGAAUCAAUUCACCAUGAUCCACUCUAGCUAGGACCCGUAAAAAAUGGACAGUUUGGUCAGCAGGCUACUCCCUCCAUCCUAGUUUAAUCAUCCCCUAACUAAAGGCGCUAAGAACAAUAACAGCAAAAUAUUCAUCAUUCUUAAAAUUAAUCCUCUCAUGGAUUAAGUGUUCCAUCGCUUCGUGUCUUAUGGAUUGCUAAUGGUUUAAAUAUAAUAUAAAUUAAUCUUGUUUGGUUGCAAGUAACACAUUCCAAUGAUACACAUUUAGUACUCUUAAUUUGCACAAAUAAACGAAGAUGAUGAUUAUUUUGAAAAGGCCUUAAAAAUAUUAGGGGAUGAUUAAAAUGGGAUGAAGGCAGUAGUAUUUCAGAGCUUGCUUCUCCAUGUGAACAUUUUGUCAAGAAUGAGAAUCAUCGGUAAUUCAAUUCCCGUAAGGGCUAAUACGUGAAACGGAUUCCAACAUAUAUUAGAGUUAGGGCUCCAGGGUGAGCUAGGUAUGGAGAGGGCCAGAGGGGACGCUAGGGAGAGAAAAAAAGAGAGUCAGGAGGGCUUUUGUGCUCAGAUGGUUCGGGCUUCUAAAUUACUGUUUUAUAUUAUGAUAACUAGCUGGGUGGUCCACGCAAUUGCGCGGCUAGCCAAAAAAAUCAUUUUUUUAAGUAUGAUUUUACUUAAAAUUUAUUAAAUAGCUAUCUCAUUGUUAAGACUUUGAAAGACCAAACCUUAUCAUCCUCGUGUUUCUAAUUAUAUAGUUUUAAAAAUCACACCAAUUGCUACCCCUUAUGUCAUCUUCUUUAUUUGCUUGCUCGAUCUAUCACUAUUUCUAUUCAUUCAUCUUGGAACAUUUAAAAAUUAGAUUUUAUAGUUUUUAGAGUUUAUUGUCACGUUGGGUUUCGUUUUUAUAAUUUCUAGAUGUCCCGUCAAACGUUGCCAUUAUACUCCUAUACAGCCUGUCCACUAUCUCUUCUCUUUUAUUGUCAUUGAGAUUUUAAAAAUCGAACUGUGACGCCCCACACUUUUAUCUUUAGUGAUAAAAGUGUGAGAACAUAGAUUAUUAUUUAACAACCAUUAUUUUGCCAAAUAAUAAUCCACCAUCAGAGAUCGCAACAGAGAAAUAGUUAGAACUACCUUUAAUUCAUCCCUAGGAGCAUUAAGGUCAUCUCUACUCCAUCUAGAGUACACUCAUAACAUUGAAUAGAGUUUGUAGCAACUCCCCGUAGACUCCCAUCCAGGAGAUAGUCGUGAAUCACGAUUUAAUUUAGCACUGCGCAGGCUUGUAUCACUGUACCCAUAGCUACUCUUAACAUGUUUGACUGUCGCACUUCACUAGAUGCGGCACCAUGCUAAGAGUACAGAACUUUUCCCCUACUUCAACUUACUACACUCCACGUUUGUGUUGAGCCUAUCAGCCCUCCACACCACCGCGCUACUAUAUGCGCCUGGAAUGCACUUCAUCGGCAUUCAUGGGGUUUAUAUCAUCUCCCAUCCUACUACUACGUACCCAUGUGGAGUAUAAUAAACUUGAUAAGGUACCAGGUCCAGCCCGUCUUAAGACGAAUCUAUGGUCGACACGGUAUAUACGGUUCUUUGAUACGAGUGAGGGGGUGAUUAGUCCUUAUAUUUAUACACCGUAUGUAGGGAGAGCCCUGACCUGCCAUCAUCAUCAAUCAUCUCAUCCCUGAGCUCCCCCUACCCACCAUACUAGUAUCCUGAUGAUCUCCAUCAUCAUCGGCUUGUCAAUCAUAUCAUCAUCGUUCAUUUCAUUAUAUUCUAGAAAAUACUUUUUGAUGCAAUACUAGGAGAAAUAUUUUUAUGAAAUAGAUUUUUAAGUUGAAAUAGAAUUAUCAUCUACCAACAUGAUCAAAAGAGAGACUUGCCUGAGUUUCUGUAGCCGGUACUAUCAAAUGACCCAAUUUCUGACUCUAGCCUUUUCCCUGCAUUUUAUUGUAUACAUUGAUUUUCAAUUAACUUUCAAACUUGAAGAAUAUAAUUGGCUUAUCUAUCUAUAUUACAGUGCACCUAAAAUUCUAGCCUGAUGUACAAUUUCUAGCAUUCCAUUAAUUUGUAUUGAGUAUAUAUAUUAGUUACUUGAUUUAAACUAGACUUGAUUUACAGAUUUAUUGACAGAGUUUUGCUAAGCUUAAUGUUAGUGUAGACAACUAGUGUGCACUAAGCAAUUUAACCCUUAUUCCUGCUCUCCUCACUUAUGUCUCUCUCUCUCUCUCUCUCUCUCUCUCGCACAUACAACAAGCUGCAUCUAGUUACUCAUCCCCUUCUUCCAUUUUCUUGGCUGUUGCUGCUGCUAAUGGCUUUCUUCUUCCCCAACUCUGCUCCUCCCUUCCAUCUACAGCACCACCCAUGGCGCUGCCACCCCGGCGCCCACGGAGGUCGACGCCAGCCACCACCACUACACACCCCAAGCUAGCUCACUGCAAAUCCCCUUUUCUCCCCCUCCCGAUUUCUCCUCUUCCUCCCAUGGUCCAAGCCCUACCAACAGCGUCUGCUUUCUCUCUCUGUGUGUGUCCCUCUCUCUCUCUCAUGCUACCAAAUGGAUGUGAUGCCACUAAUAGUGAUGUGAAAGUGCAGGAAAAUAGUGCCUCGUGCCAUGGCUGCUCUAUGAGGUGGCAAGAAUGGCAAGAUUUGAGGGGCUCACCUUUGUCUAAGGGACAAGUUCCUCCAUGGUUGUGCUCCCGUGUUCGUCCUCGCCAAUGUGUUGGUCUCUUCUCCUCCUUGAUAGAUCAUCUCCUUGUCUAGCCAAUUUUUCUUCUCCCCUUCCUAGCCGACAUAGAGAUGGUAUGAGUAUUUGGCUGAGAACUAAUUUGGCUACUAACUAUUGGGAUUGAGGGAUUGGUUCUUGAAAUGGAUUGGGCAGAAUCUUGCAUUCCGCUGAUUUGUGGAUUUUGGGACUUUGGCUAUUCCCUCCUCGCUCCCUAUUGCUCUCCUCCUCCCCUGAUCUGCUCACUCCUCACCAAGUGCUUGGGGCUCAUAUGCAUGCAUCAGUGAGCAAAUGGGCAUGGCUGUAGCCAUGCUUUGACUGCUUGACUGAGAGGUGAUGAGGUUGUGCUACUACCUUUGUGGCCUUGUGUGAGUCCUCCUAUGUGCAGCUAUGUGAUUGGUGGAAAAUUAGUACUGCUGGUGAAUUGAGGUCCCUUUGGUGAGGUUACUUCUUUAUAUGAGAUGUGUGACUUCUUAGUGUUAAUUAGCCGGAGCCGGAUGACGAACCCAACUUAAGGGAGGGGUGCCAGACGGUAUUAGCCGAUCUAGGUAUCUCGGUGAAUGGUUGAAUAUACACCACUUCGUGUAUGGGUCUGACGGCAAUAUUUAUUUACAUAUUACCUUUUGUGCAUAAAAGGGUCAAGCUAUGCAUGUCCUGUGCAACCGUAUAUUCAAAUAUAUGAUGUAUUGUAUUAUUAGUGUAAGUGUAUGUAUAUGCUGACUGUUUACAGUGGCGUUUGUUUGUACUAUAUUUCCAAUUAUCACUAUUAUAUUGUGGUUGUAUAUUGGACAUUGUUUGUUUGUUUAACUUCGACGAAUGUGAAUUUCAUAAAUUUUGAGUGGCUUAUUCUUAUUUCCAACAAUUUUGCUAGUUAACUAAUUAAUUAGUGAUAUAUGCCACUUAAUUUUUAAUUUUUAAAAUAGCUUAAAUUUCCGGGUAACAUAAUUAUAGUUUGGGUUUAUUUUUACUUUCCAAAAGUCCCGCCAAACCAUCAGCGGUUUUGCCAUUGUACUCCUCUACGGCUCGCUCGCUGCCUCCCUUCUUUAUUGCCUUCUUUAUUGUCAUUGAGAUUUAAAAUAGAACAUGAUUAUCAUUGGUUUUUUUUACUUUUUAGAAUUUCUAAAUCUUUAAAAAUUGGACUUGUAGUUUUAUUUUUUAUAAUUUUUAGAAGUCUCAUCAAACGAUGCCACUAUGCCCCUCUGCAGCCCGUCCGCCGCCUACUCUUUAUUGUCAUUGUGAUUCUAAAAAUCGAACAUAACUAUCAUUACAAUUCAUUUUUUAUUUUCUAGAAGUCCCGUCAACCGUCGGAGGCUCUGCAACUAUACUCUUAUACACCCCGCUCGUUGCUUCUCCUUUUUAUUGUCAUUGAGAUUUUAAAAAUCGAAAAUGAUUAUCAAUGUGGUUUUCUUUCUUUAUACUUUCUAGAAGUCCCGGCAACCGCUUUACUUGUUUACUUCACGGCAUACCUGAUGUCCCUCCUUUUAAUCGUCAUUAGGAUUCUAUUUGGUGUUUUAUUAAUAAUUUUUAUAUGCCGUAUUAACCACCACCAACUCUACUACUUUAUAGCCAUGUUACUUAAUUUAUUUCGUCAUGUGUUUUAGAUGGUCUUUUCUUUCAAUAGUCUUUAUUUUUAUCACAAAUUUUAGUUAUUU